Molecule: non-coding RNA, 5287 nt
Organism: Marmota flaviventris (yellow-bellied marmot)
Lineage: Eukaryota; Metazoa; Chordata; Mammalia; Rodentia; Sciuridae
Source: RefSeq, a predicted model, not a curated record
GCGGUCCAGGCUGAGGCGGCGGCGGCGGCGGCGGCGGCGGCGGCGGGCGGGGCUCUGCUCGGGCUCCGCGGGCGGGCGGGCGGACAUGGCGGCCAACAUGUACCGGGUCGGAGAUUAUGUCUACUUUGAGAAUUCUUCCAGCAACCCAUACCUAAUCAGAAGAAUAGAAGAACUUAACAAGACUGCAAGUGGCAACGUGGAAGCAAAGGUAGUGUGCUUUUAUAGACGACGAGAUAUAUCCAACACUCUCAUAAUGCUUGCGGACAAGCAUGCUAAAGAAAUUGAAGAAGAAUCUGAAACAACAGUUGAGGCAGACUUGACUGAUAAACAGAAACAUCAGUUGAAACAUAGGGAACUCUUUUUGUCACGCCAAUAUGAAUCUCUCCCUGCAACACAUAUCAGGGGAAAAUGCAGUGUUGCUCUUCUGAAUGAGACAGAAUCAGUAUUGUCAUAUCUUGAGAAAGAGGAUACCUUUUUCUACUCCUUGGUCUAUGACCCCUCAGUGAAAACACUAUUAGCUGACAAAGGUGAAAUCAGAGUGGGUCCUAGAUACCAAGCAGACAUUCCAGAAAUGCUCUUAGAAGGAGAAUCAGAUGAGAGAGAACAGUCAAAAUUGGAAAUGAAAGUUUGGGAUCCAAAUAGCCCACUUACAGACCGACAGAUUGACCAGUUCUUAGUUGUAGCUCGGGCUGUUGGGACAUUUGCUAGAGCCCUGGACUGUAGCAGUUCUGUGAGGCAGCCUAGCUUGCACAUGAGCGCCGCUGCAGCUUCCCGAGACAUCACGUUGUUUCAUGCUAUGGAUACGUUGUAUAGACACAGCUAUGACUUGAGCAGUGCAAUUAGUGUCUUAGUACCACUUGGAGGACCUGUUUUAUGCAGAGAUGAAAUGGAAGAAUGGUCGGCCUCUGAAGCUAGCUUAUUUGAAGAGGCACUAGAAAAAUAUGGCAAGGACUUCAAUGACAUACGUCAAGACUUUCUCCCUUGGAAGUCAUUGACUAGCAUCAUUGAGUAUUAUUACAUGUGGAAAACUACUGACAGAUAUGUGCAGCAGAAACGUCUAAAAGCAGCAGAAGCUGAGAGUAAACUGAAACAAGUUUAUAUCCCAACUUACAGCAAACCAAAUCCCAACCAAAUAUCCACCAGCAAUGGCAAGCCUGGCGCUGUGAAUGGAGCUGUGGGGACCACGUUCCAGCCCCAGAACCCCCUAUUAGGGCGAGCCUGUGAGAGCUGCUAUGCUACACAGUCUCACCAGUGGUAUUCUUGGGGCCCACCCAAUAUGCAGUGUAGAUUAUGUGCAACUUGUUGGCUGUAUUGGAAAAAAUAUGGAGGCCUGAAAAUGCCCACCCAGUCAGAAGAAGAAAAGUUAUCUCCCAGUCCAACUACAGAGGACCCCCGAGUUAGAAGUCACCUGUCCCGGCAGGCUAUGCAAGGGAUGCCUGUCCGAAACACUGGGAGUCCAAAGUCUGCAGUGAAGACCCGCCAAGCUUUCUUCCUUCAUACUACAUAUUUCACAAAGUUUGCUCGUCAGGUCUGCAAAAAUACCCUACGGUUGCGGCAGGCAGCAAGACGGCCGUUUGUUGCUAUUAAUUAUGCUGCCAUUAGGGCAGAAUAUGCAGACAGACAUGCCGAACUAUCUGGGAGUCCACUGAAAAGCAAAAGCACUAGGAAACCUUUGGCAUGUAUCAUCGGGUAUUUAGAGAUCCAUCCUGCAAAGAAACCUAAUGUUAUUCGUUCCACACCAAGCCUGCAAACCCCAACUACCAAGCGGAUGCUAACUACCCCGAAUCACACAUCUCUAAGCAUUCUGGGGAAAAGAAACUACAGUCAUCACAAUGGCCUGGACGAAAGGCUCAUGAAGUGAAGGCACAGCUCCACUCCAUCCUGCAACCCUUCCUCAGCGUGGUACAAGGCUGUGAAGAACUCACUUGUUGUGUGUCAGACUGAGCGAUCCCUGUUCCAUCCUACAAUCCAAGACUCGCUACUGUCCUGCUGAUGUUCACAGCUGUGCCUGGGAAGGAGGCGGCUGGAGACCCCCGUGUGUACCCCACGGAGACCCGAUGGGGAGGGAAGAAACUGUAGGAGUGCAGGUUCCAAAUCUGCACCUCCACCUGUGAACCAGCAGCGCCUGGCUUCCUUCUCAGAGACCUCUUGUCCCCAGCAGACCUGCCUGAGAACCGAGGGGGGGCAGGAGCCACUCCUCCUCGCUUAUUGGUGCCACACUCCCCAGGAAUGGUGGCCUCGGGCGAUGGAGGCUGCUGAGAGCUUGGAGCCCUGCUGCCCUGCAUGUGUCUGUCCUGCUCUGUUUUAUGCUGUAUAGUUAUGCACAGGAGGGAUGUGGCAGCUUUCUGAGUGCAUUUUUCUUAAGAAAUGUGCUGGUGUUUACGCAGCUCAUGGUAUUUCCCCAUCCUCGCUGUUCCUGUCACUUGGCAUUUUCUCAAUAGGCUGCUUUUUUUUUUUUUUUUUUAACUGGGGAAAUGUUAGUCUUGACCCCCGCAUCCCGGACUCCAUCCCACUCCCAGCCCCUGCUGCACAGUGAUCCGAAGAUGAGGCAAGCCCCGGGCUCUGCUGGGCAUCUGGUUCGUUGCUGCGGGGAGGCUGGUGUUCUCUCUGGUUCUGUGUUCCCCUGGAGUCUCUAUCGAGAGCAGGUGUUAAACAUGCCAAGUGUGUGCAUCACUGUGACAAGCCAUUUGCUUAUUGCCCUGUUCCCUUACCGCUGAAUCAGCUGACAAGCUGUAGCCAGGUGGGUCCACAGCGGGUCCUCAAUCACCCAGGUUUAUUUGAGGCAGUCAGAUUCUGCUGGGCCUAAGGAAAGUGGGGUGAAGGACUGUUUGCAGGUAUGAGUCUUUAGGUGGCUGCAUGGUCCCCACCUCUCUGGCCAGUGUUUCUGUAGGCAUAUAUGCCUCAGCCCCAGGAGACCUGCCUGAUUUACUGGCUUGGGCUCUACCUGCCUUCCCUGGGCACAGCCCUUGGUGGCAUUCCAGCUGGCCACUCUGCCAUCUGUGCACACAGCUGCGGGCAUUGGAACCACUCAGUGCCAUUAGCUUCUUGAGCAGCCCGAGCCCAGCGCUCCCCUACCCUCCAUCAGCAGGGUGGGCCUCAAGGCUCUGUGGAAAAACAACUGGAGUCUGACCUCCCAGUUUCUUGGGGGCUGCAGUUGGGGAGGGGGCAGGUGGAUGGCUGUGAGGUGCCCCAAACAGGUUGUCGCAAGACAGAGUGGCAACAAUUGACCUGACCUCCAGGAAGAGUGAGGUGUCACAGAAAUGAGGAUGACAUUGGAAGUCUGUCCUCUGAGGCUGGCUUGGCUCUGAGGAGAACAAGGUGUACGAUGGCUGAGGAGAUGCUCAAUCUCCAUCUGCCCGUCCCUGCCCAAUCUUGGCUUCUCUGAGGAGUUGCUUCUCAGUGUAGGUGUCUGAGCCGGUGACCAGCCAUGUUCCCACCACCGAUGACCCUUGGGGCAGUCCUGGACUUAGGGGCCUCUGUGGGAGAGGGGCCUGUGUCACAGGGCUCCAUGAGACAGGUGGUACAGAUACCAGGCAUUUCCCCAGGGUUCCCACAGAGACGUCCCUUCAGCAGAGACUCUGGGGGAAGAGGCAGCGGGCCUCUGAGGUUUCUUCUCUAAAGAAAAAGAAAACACACAAAACUAUCUGUGCACCUGGCCUGGUUUGACUGUAACAUGUGGAUACAGGGGACAGGGGUGCUCACCCCUCACUUCCCGCACCUAACCCGCAUCACGUGGACCACUGGUCGCAAACAAUUGGCUGUGAUUGGCUGAAUCCAUUGCUUUGGGUCUCAGGUAAGGCAGAACAUCAUGGUCAAAGGAUACAGAGGAAGACUGCUCUAUUCAUGACAGCCAGGAAGCAGAGAGAGUUCUGCUCACCAGGGACAAAAUAUAGACCCCAAAGGCACACCCCCCAGUGACCGACUUCCUCCAGCCAUUCUUUGCCUGCCUAUAGUCACCACCCAGUACAGUAGUCCUUUCAAAUUAUCAAUCCACCUAGUGGAUUAAUCCACUGAUGACCUUAUAGAUCACAUAAUCACAACGCCUCUGAAUAUUCUUGCAUUCCUUCACACAUGAGCUUUCACACUUCACAGCCAAACCAUAACAAGCCCUUCUUAGCACCACGGCGUUGCCAUCCUGUGUGGUUACGCCUGCCACCAUUGUUCAGGAGUGUGUAAGUGGACGUGCUGAGACUAUCUGCACAGCCCAGACGUCCGUGGUGCUGCUUCCUGGGCGAAGGCACGAACUCAGCAGGCAGCACCCCCCCAGUCGCUGCACCACCUCUGGUGUCCUAACUGUGGGGAAGAGAGGACUGCAGGCUGUUGCUGGGACCUCUCACUGUUCUGCCUAGUCCACAGCCCAGUUUCUGUCACUCAGGGCCCAUCUGGGAAAGCAGAAACCACACCCCGUAUUUCAAACAUAGGGGCUUAUUUCAGAUUUGUCACAGAAAAAAAAAAAAAAAAAAAAAAAACAGAAAAAAGACCAGAGACGUGAAUUGGGGAACAAGGAAGCGCCCACACCCUGAGUCCUUCAGGACAGCCAGGAAGCAGAGAGAGUUCUGCUCACCAGGGACAAAAUAUAGACCCCAAAGGCACACCUAGGGUCUAUAUAUUUUGACAGUCCCUGUCAGAAAGGCUCCCUGUGGAGAGAAGGGGAUAAGGAGCUUAACCGCUCCCUUCUUGCCCUCCAGAUUUCUGCGGUGCCUCAUGUUAGCUAACCCCAGCCAGAAGCCAGCUUCCCUGGGAGCCGGGGACAGCAACCCGCAGGGUCAGCCCCCAGCGUGUGGUAGGGCAGAGCAGCUGGAGGACAGGCCAGGAGCAGGCCUGAGGGCCAGCAGCCUGGGUUUAUGCCCUGCCUGCUCAUGUCGUGUCCCAUCCCAGUGUUCAUGCUGCUGUUCUGGACCCUGGUGAAGGAGACAGAGCUGCCCCCUUGGGUCUUUGUGGAUUCUUUAUCCUCCACCUGGAGGAACAGUGCUUUGGGGAGGGAGGGAGCCUUCAUUCUUCGCAGUUUUUCCUGGUUUCCUUUGGGGGGAUUUACUCAUUUAGCAGCCCACCUCCCUACUCCCCUUAGGAAAGCCAUGUCCCAGUUUUCUUUGCGCCCUCCUGUUCCUCUCCCCUGCGUCUCUGGUUCUCCAGACCAGAGACCCCUAACCCAGGGCAUGCUUCCGUGCUCGUAAGUGCUUCCCCAGGAUAAUUCAUUCCAGCGUAAUGCCAGUGUGGACCGUCUGUCUAAGGAGAUGCCAUCUACUAAUCAGUUUGUAUUGUGUUUCCAAUAAAUUUCUGGAAAUAA